This 398-nucleotide ribosomal RNA is filed under the name uncultured bacterium. Its description in RNAcentral is "bacterial SSU rRNA". It matches the Rfam family "Bacterial small subunit ribosomal RNA", at positions 362 to 776 of the family's 1533-position model. The record is from RNAcentral.
UAUUGCACAAUGGGGGAAACCCUGAUGCAGCGACGCCGCGUGGGUGAAGGAGCGUUUCGGCGCGUAAAGCCCUAUCGGCAGGGAAGAAGGAGGACGGUACCUGACUAAGAAGCCCCGGCUAACUACGUGCCAGCAGCCGCGGUAAUAAGUAGGGGGCAAGCGUUAUCCGGAUUCACUGGGUGUAAAGGGAGCGUAGACGGCGAGACAAGUCUGGAGUGAAAGGCCGGGGCCCAACCCCGGGACUGCUCUGGAAACUGCCUGGCUGGAGUACAGGAGAGGUAAGUGGAAUUCCUAGUGUAGCGGUGAAAUGCGUAGAUAUUAGGAGGAACACCAGUGGCGAAGGCGGCUUACUGGACUGUAACUGACGUUGAGGCUCGAAAGCGUGGGGAGCAAACAGG